GGUGGCUCAGUGGUAGAGUGCAUGCCUUGCAUGCAUGAGGCCCUGGGUUCAAUUCCUCAGUACCA
This 65-nucleotide transfer RNA is filed under the name Dipodomys ordii (Ord's kangaroo rat). It matches the Rfam family "tRNA". Rfam says of the family: Transfer RNA (tRNA) molecules are approximately 80 nucleotides in length. Their secondary structure includes four short double-helical elements and three loops (D, anti-codon, and T loops). Further hydrogen bonds mediate the characteristic L-shaped molecular structure. tRNAs have two regions of fundamental functional importance: the anti-codon, which is responsible for specific mRNA codon recognition, and the 3' end, to which the tRNAs corresponding amino acid is attached (by aminoacyl-tRNA synthetases). tRNAs cope with the degeneracy of the genetic code in two manners: having more than one tRNA (with a specific anti-codon) for a particular amino acid; and 'wobble' base-pairing, i.e. permitting non-standard base-pairing at the 3rd anti-codon position. The record is from Rfam by way of RNAcentral. Lineage: Eukaryota; Metazoa; Chordata; Mammalia; Rodentia; Heteromyidae.